GGUGUUGUAGGAGAUGCCAGGGUUGUGUUACGGUUUUCAGUGUCAAGCGUCAUCACCAUAGCAACAGAAUAUAUCACCUGUUCAGUAGUGAUGCAUUCACGCCGUCUAGUACCCCGGAAUAUUGCGCUACUGCAAUGAAAUACAGCUGGUGGACAGCAGAGGGGAGUGUUGUCCUUCACUGGAAGUUAGGGAUACUCCUCCAGCACAAGAUACAGUACGUGUUUCUGGCACACUUCCCAGCUGCCUGCAGGAAGAGGAGAAGGGAUGCUUCUCAUCAGCAUGACUGCAGUGGCAGGGUCCUCGGGGCCUCAUGGAAGGACUCAACUUGACUAUCUUCUUUCAAAGAAGACCAAAAAACAUCCUAGCCCACCUGCUUGAAUGGAAACCCAACACCAGCUGGCCUCUGGGAGACCAAUCAGUACAGGAAAGCCAUGGAUUACAGCCUCCACUGCCACACCAUCUUCAGUAAUGCUGCUGUCGCCCUGGGCUGCCAGCUCUCCAUGUCUACUGUGAGGAAAAAGGCUCCCCUGCAACAAAAACUGGCAACCUGUACCCCACCUCUCACCCAAUGUCAGCUGGGAUUGGCUCUAGUCCUCUGUGACCCUAUAGAUGGAUGGACUUCCUGGAGCCUCUGCUGGUUGCCUGACAUAUAGAUGUAACCCUCCAUAAAAUGAUGAGCUGUCAUCUUUACUCUUAAACGCAGUAUACUGUGUUAUUAUAUAAGCUUUUGAAGUGCUAGUACAGUUGGUGCAUUUUGUUAUGAAGCCAGGUUAGCCACUGUUUUCAGGUUUUAUGCUAAGCUAAGUGACUGCUGGCUGUAGCUUGACAUUUAGCAUGAGAGUGGCAUCAGUUUCUCAAUGAAGAAAGCACAUAAUAUUUCUCAAAAUGUCAAAUUAUUCCUUCAAGGGUUUUUGCCAAAUUUCUUUUAAAGUAAAUGUAGCAAAUACUGGCACAGAAUAAUGGCAUUCAGCAGUUUUCUUCUCCAAAAUAUAAUUUUCAGCCUUCAAACAUCUGCAAGUUGCAGGUGAGACAGACUGAGAUGAUUCUCAGCAUUGAGGGCAAACGACAGGCAUGUUUGUGCACAUUCCCGAAAGCCACAGCUCCUGUUGGCAGGUUGCUGUGCCUAUUAUUGCUCACCCAGGUCCAUGUGUUUAUGUCUUGGGUUUCUCUCUUUCUUCCCCCCCUCCCUCCAUCCUAUAUAUCCUAAUGCCACUGAAGAAUGAUCUUAUGUUAUAAAAGUACUGGAGCAGUUAUAUCCAGUGAGCAGGACCAUUGUUUUCUCAUUCAGCUGGUACUUUAUGUUGAGGAUCUAUUCAGCUAUGAGGAUUCACUAGCUUUGUCUUGCUGUAACACACACAUUUCACAGAAUGAAUGUAAGACUGUAGAGUAACAUGAAUGUAAAACAGUGACAUGGUUUAUUUCUAUAGCUCACUGAGAUUUUUUUUUCUGGAUGAACUUGAAUGCCUCCUUUGUUGAGCUGAAGAAUGGUGGCUAAAAGUGAAGCUGUGGUGUAAUGGAGGGUUUCUGUGGCCUUGUUAGUUCUUGUGGUGGUGGGCUCAGAGUGGGUCUGCAGCCCACAGAAUUCAGCCCACAUAUAUUCCAGAAUCUUUCAUACAGAAACCACAUAGUUUGGACACAAUGUGACAACAAAGGGGGUAAACUAUACAACAUAGGAACAAAGCCACACAGAGCUCUGGUUUGCCACUCAAGUUACAGUAAUUAAAUUCAAUUCGAUUCAGUUUUAUUUAGCGCCAAUUCACAAGAAAAAAAAAAUCAUCUCAAGGCACUUUACAUAGAAAUGUAGAUGAAGACUUACUGUAGCUCUGCAGCUACAACCAAUAGUGUGAAAUCACCAUUAAAAGAAUAGUUUGACGUUUAGAAAUACAUUAGUUUAAUUUCUUUCUGAGAGUUAGAUGAGAACAUUAA
Molecule: long non-coding RNA, 1926 nt
Organism: Monopterus albus (swamp eel)
Lineage: Eukaryota; Metazoa; Chordata; Actinopteri; Synbranchiformes; Synbranchidae
Exons: 5
Source: RefSeq, a predicted model, not a curated record